AGACUUAUAGACGGGUGGUGGAUAGUAUACCUUCUUGGGAGGUGGGGGAGACUUGUAGACUGGAGGUGGGUAGUAUACCUUCUUUGGUGGUGGAGGAGACUUAUAGACGGGAGGAGGGUAGUAUACCUUCUUGGGAGGUGGGGGAGACUUGUAGACGGGAGGUGGGUAGUACACCUUCUUGGGAGGUGGGGGAGACUUGUAGACGGGAGGUGGGUAGUACACCUUCUUGGGAGGCGGGGGAGACUUGUAGACGGGAGGUGGGUAAUACACCUUCUUAGGUGGCGGAGGAGACUUGUAGACGGGAGGUGGGUAAUAAACCUUCUUGGGUGGCGGAGGAGACUUGUAGACAGGAGGUGGGUAAUACACCUUCUUUG
This 374-nucleotide long non-coding RNA is filed under the name Cucumis sativus (cucumber). RNAcentral's name for it is "long non-coding RNA (CSAT_LNC002210)". The record is from RNAcentral. Lineage: Eukaryota; Viridiplantae; Streptophyta; Magnoliopsida; Cucurbitales; Cucurbitaceae.